RNAcentral lists this ribosomal RNA (654 nucleotides) under uncultured Lachnospiraceae bacterium. RNAcentral describes it as "bacterial SSU rRNA". It matches the Rfam family "Bacterial small subunit ribosomal RNA", at positions 62 to 718 of the family's 1533-position model. Lineage: Bacteria; Bacillati; Bacillota; Clostridia; Lachnospirales; Lachnospiraceae. The record is from RNAcentral.
UCGAGCGAAGCGGCUGAAUUGAUUCUUCGGAUGAUUUUCAGUUGACUGAGCGGCGGACGGGUGAGUAACGCGUGGGUGACCUGCCCCAUACCGGGGGAUAACAGCUGGAAACGGCUGCUAAUACCGCAUAAGCGCACAGAGCUGCAUGGCUCGGUGUGAAAAACUCCGGUGGUAUGGGAUGGGCCCGCGUCUGAUUAGGCAGUUGGCGGGGUAACGGCCCACCAAACCGACGAUCAGUAGCCGGCCUGAGAGGGCGACCGGCCACAUUGGGACUGAGACACGGCCCAAACUCCUACGGGAGGCAGCAGUGGGGAAUAUUGCACAAUGGGGGAAACCCUGAUGCAGCGACGCCGCGUGAGCGAAGAAGUAUUUCGGUAUGUAAAGCUCUAUCAGCAGGGAAGAUAAUGACGGUACCUGACUAAGAAGCCCCGGCUAACUACGUGCCAGCAGCCGCGGUAAUACGUAGGGGGCAAGCGUUAUCCGGAUUUACUGGGUGUAAAGGGAGCGUAGACGGCAAGGCAAGUCUGAUGUGAAAACCCAGGGCUUAACCCUGGGACUGCAUUGGAAACUGUCUGGCUCGAGUGCCGGAGAGGUAAGCGGAAUUCCUAGUGUAGCGGUGAAAUGCGUAGAUAUUAGGAAGAACACCAGUGGCGA